Molecule: ribosomal RNA, 542 nt
Filed under: Scheffersomyces shehatae
Lineage: Eukaryota; Fungi; Ascomycota; Pichiomycetes; Serinales; Debaryomycetaceae
Also listed under: 1 other name
Description: eukaryotic LSU rRNA
Rfam family: Eukaryotic large subunit ribosomal RNA
Source: RNAcentral
GCGAGUGAAGCGACAAAAGCUCAAAUUUGAAAUCUGGCACCUUCGGUGUCCGAGUUGUAAUUUGAAGAAGGUAACUUUGGAGUUGGCUCUUGUCUAUGUUCCUUGGAACAGGACGUCACAGAGGGUGAGAAUCCCGUGCGAUGAGAUGUCCAACUCUAUGUAAAGUGCUUUCGAAGAGUCGAGUUGUUUGGGAAUGCAGCUCUAAGUGGGUGGUAAAUUCCAUCUAAAGCUAAAUAUUGGCGAGAGACCGAUAGCGAACAAGUACAGUGAUGGAAAGAUGAAAAGAACUUUGAAAAGAGAGUGAAAAAGUACGUGAAAUUGUUGAAAGGGAAGGGUUUGAGAUCAGACUUGGUAUUUUGUAUGUCUUGCUUUCGGGUGGGGCCUCUGCAGUUUACUGGGCCAGCAUCGGUUUGGACGGUAGGAUAAUGACAUUGGAAUGUGGCACUACUUCGGUGGUGUGUUAUAGACUUUGUUGAUACUGCCUGUCUAGACCGAGGACUGCGUCUUUGACUAGGAUGCUGGCAUAAUGAUCCUAAACCGCC